UGCCGGAUCAAGUGGCGGUAUGACGUGAACUAUGUCAGGUGAGAAAUCAAGCAGCAUUAAGCGUAUGUUAUCGGGUAUUUGUUUUCCGUUGGCG
RNAcentral lists this signal recognition particle RNA (94 nucleotides) under Oscillospiraceae bacterium. Its description in RNAcentral is "signal recognition particle sRNA small type". It matches the Rfam family "Bacterial small signal recognition particle RNA". Rfam says of the family: The signal recognition particle (SRP) is a universally conserved ribonucleoprotein involved in the co-translational targeting of proteins to membranes. The record is from RNAcentral. Lineage: Bacteria; Bacillati; Bacillota; Clostridia; Eubacteriales; Oscillospiraceae.